GCGACCCCAGGUCAGAA
This 17-nucleotide ribosomal RNA is filed under the name Rhododendron kanehirae. Its description in RNAcentral is "partial 26S ribosomal RNA". Lineage: Eukaryota; Viridiplantae; Streptophyta; Magnoliopsida; Ericales; Ericaceae. The record is from RNAcentral.